Molecule: ribosomal RNA, 263 nt
Filed under: uncultured bacterium
Lineage: Bacteria
Description: partial 16S ribosomal RNA
Rfam family: Bacterial small subunit ribosomal RNA
Source: RNAcentral
UUAGUGGGCGGACGGGUGAGUAACGCGUGGGCAACCUGCCUUACACAGGGGGAUAACACUUAGAAAUAGGUGCUAAAACCGCAUAAGCGCACAGCUUCGCAUGAAGCGGUGUGAAAAACUCCGGUGGUGUAAGAUGGACCCGCGUCUGAUUAGCUUGUUGGUGGGGUAACGGCCCACCAAGGCGACGAUCAGUAGCCGGCCUGAGAGGGCGGACGGCCACAUUGGGACUGAGACACGGCCCAGACUCCUACGGGAGGCAGCAG